AUGAUUCCGGCGGGAGAGUCUCGGGUAACCGGGCGCCGAAGGAGAAAACCACCGCGUGUCGCUUGUGCGGGAGGGGAAACUCUCAGGCAAAAGAACCGCUGAAAGACG
This 108-nucleotide non-coding RNA is filed under the name Peptococcaceae bacterium CEB3. Its description in RNAcentral is "Desulfitobacterium sp. enrichment culture clone CEB3 Glycine riboswitch aptamer". It matches the Rfam family "Glycine riboswitch aptamer". Rfam says of the family: This family represents the bacterial glycine riboswitch. Glycine riboswitches usually consist of two metabolite-binding aptamers domains with similar structures in tandem. Lineage: Bacteria; Bacillati; Bacillota; Clostridia; Eubacteriales; Peptococcaceae. The record is from Rfam by way of RNAcentral. RNAcentral also lists the same sequence under 1 other name.